CCAGACUCCUACGGGAGGCAGCAGUGGGGAAUAUUGCACAAUGGGGGAAACCCUGAUGCAGCAACGCCGCGUGGGUGAAGGAGCGUUUCGGCGCGUAAAGCCCUGUCAGCGGGGAAGAAGAAAGACGGUACCCGACCAAGAAGCCCCGGCUAACUACGUGCCAGCAGCCGCGGUAAUACGGAGGAUGCGAGCGUUAUCCGGAUUUAUUGGGUUUAAAGGGUGCGUAGGCGGAAUAUCAAGUCAGCGGUAAAAAUUCGGGGCUCAACCCCGUCGUGCCGUUGAAACUGGCAGUCUCGAGUUGGAGAGAAGUAUGCGGAAUGCGCGGUGUAGCGGUGAAAUGCAUAGAUAUCGCGCAGAACUCCGAUUGCGAAGGCAGCAUGCCGGCUCCACGCUGACGCUGAGGCACGAAAGCGUGGGUAUCGAACAGGAUUAGAUACCCCCGUA
Molecule: ribosomal RNA, 444 nt
Filed under: uncultured bacterium
Lineage: Bacteria
Description: bacterial SSU rRNA
Rfam family: Bacterial small subunit ribosomal RNA
Source: RNAcentral